This 459-nucleotide ribosomal RNA is filed under the name uncultured bacterium. RNAcentral's name for it is "partial 16S ribosomal RNA". It matches the Rfam family "Bacterial small subunit ribosomal RNA", at positions 338 to 795 of the family's 1533-position model. The record is from RNAcentral.
CCUACGGGGGGCAGCAGUGGGGAAUUUUGGACAAUGGGCGCAAGCCUGAUCCAGCUAUUCCGCGUGUGGGAUGAAGGCCCUAUGGGUUGUAAACCUCUUUUGUCGGAGAACAAAACCCGGGACGUGUCCCGGACUGCGUGUAUCCGAAGCAAAAGCAUCGGCUAACUCCGUGCCAGCAGCCGCGGUAAUACGGAGGAUGCGAGCGUUAUCCGGAUUUAUUGGGUUUAAAGGGUGCGUAGGCGGUCCGUUAAGUCAGCGGUAAAAUUGCGGGGCUCAACCCCGUCGAGCCGUUGAAACUGGCAGACUUGAGUUGGCGAGAAGUACGCGGAAUGCGCGGUGUAGCGGUGAAAUGCAUAGAUAUCGCGCAGAACUCCGAUUGCGAAGGCAGCGUACCGGCGCCAGACUGACGCUGAGGCACGAAAGCGUGGGGAUCGAACAGGAUUAGAUACCCUUGUAGUC